This 941-nucleotide ribosomal RNA is filed under the name Epicoccum nigrum. Its description in RNAcentral is "partial large subunit ribosomal RNA". It matches the Rfam family "Eukaryotic large subunit ribosomal RNA", at positions 30 to 983 of the family's 3401-position model. The record is from RNAcentral. Lineage: Eukaryota; Fungi; Ascomycota; Dothideomycetes; Pleosporales; Didymellaceae.
GAAAAUCUAAUUCAAUAAGCGGAGGAAAAGAAACCAACAGGGAUUGCCCUAGUAACGGCGAGUGAAGCGGCAACAGCUCAAAUUUGAAAUCUGGCGUCUUUGGCGUCCGAGUUGUAAUUUGCAGAGGGCGCUUUGGCAUUGGCAGCGGUCCAAGUUCCUUGGAACAGGACGUCACAGAGGGUGAGAAUCCCGUACGUGGUCGCUAGCCUUUACCGUGUAAAGCCCCUUCGACGAGUCGAGUUGUUUGGGAAUGCAGCUCUAAAUGGGAGGUAAAUUUCUUCUAAAGCUAAAUACUGGCCAGAGACCGAUAGCGCACAAGUAGAGUGAUCGAAAGAUGAAAAGCACUUUGGAAAGAGAGUUAAAAAGCACGUGAAAUUGUUGAAAGGGAAGCGCUUGCAGCCAGACUUGCCUGUAGUUGCUCAUCCGGGUUUUUACCCGGUGCACUCUUCUACGGGCAGGCCAGCAUCAGUUUGGGCGGUUGGAUAAAGGUCUCUGUCAUGUACCUCCUCUCGGGGAGAUCUUAUAGGGGAGACGACAUGCAACCAGCCUGGACUGAGGUCCGCGCAUCUGCUAGGAUGCUGGCGUAAUGGCUGUAAGCGGCCCGUCUUGAAACACGGACCAAGGAGUCUAACAUCUAUGCGAGUGUUUGGGUGUCAAGCCCGAACGCGUAAUGAAAGUGAACGGAGGUGGGAACCUUUCGGGGUGCACCAUCGACCGAUCCUGAUGUCUUCGGAUGGAUUUGAGUAAGAGCAUAGCUGUUGGGACCCGAAAGAUGGUGAACUAUGCUUGAAUAGGGUGAAGCCAGAGGAAACUCUGGUGGAGGCUCGCAGCGGUUCUGACGUGCAAAUCGAUCGUCAAAUUUGGGCAUAGGGGCGAAAGACUAAUCGAACUAUCUAGUAGCUGGUUCCUGCCGAAGUUUCCCUCCCCCCGCAGGAAUAAAA